This is a long non-coding RNA of Dromaius novaehollandiae (emu), 2445 nucleotides long. RefSeq lists it as uncharacterized. The transcript is spliced from 3 exons. NCBI's taxonomy places the organism in Eukaryota, Metazoa, Chordata, Aves, Casuariiformes, Dromaiidae. The record is from RefSeq and is a predicted model, not a curated record.
AUGGCCUUAGGCAGCUAAUCAGCUUUGUGCCAGUGGGUUAGUUGCAUGGGGGUGUCUGGUCUGAAUGUACUUUUUUUCCCCCUCCUUUUGGUUGGGAAUUUUAUCUUCUGCUGCUGGUUUCCUUUGGAAAAGUUCCUAUUCUUUAAGCAUUAAAGGGACAUUUUUUAACAAUUGGGAGCACUCUCAUAUCAAGUGCUGAAUCACUGCAGGGAUAUGUUGAGUCUUCUGAAUAAACUGAUGUGAUCUGCACAAAUAGCUAUACCAGUGGUAUUAAAGUGUCUUGACUACCUCUGCCUAUAACCAGAGACUCACCCAGUGAGGAUGAAUUCCCAGUCACACCAGCUUGCUGUAACAGAAGAAAAAUAAGAAGGGAAAAUAAAAGUUUCUUAAUUAGAACGCAGCAAAAAGUAAGCUCACAAAGGAACUGCCAAUUCUCAGCCUCUUGGGCAGACAGUUGGAUCCCGUGUCUGAGGGUUCGGAGCAACCACACGGAACCUGCACCGUCCUGACCACGGGCUGGGUCACCGGCUGGGGCGUAAAGACUCACCUGAGUAACUCGAGAAAUCCCUUCAAUCUCCCCUUUUGAUUUGCCUUUCACAGGACAGAAGCCAUGAAGGACCACAACCCAUGAAGUGUCCAGCUGCUUUAAUCCCUGCAAAACAGUGACAUAUUUGUUGUUCCUCCGUUCAUCCCACUGUGAGAAGACAUUGCUUUCAAGAGUGACUGAAAUAUCCAGGGAUUAGAGGGAUGAUUUCAGUGCUGUGUACACCUUUUUCUCAGAUGCUGUUUGAUUUACAUUACCUCUGCUAGCAGGAUAUUUCCUCUAACAGAUAAACCAGCAAGACGCAAUUCCUAAAAUAACUUUAGAUCUUCUUAAAUUAAAUCAGAGCAUCAAUAUGUUUCAAUUUUUUAGUCUUCUUGUUUAGUCACCAUGUUCACAAAUACAAACUCUUUUCCUGGCUGGUGCAAAAUAAAAGUUUAGGGACCAUAAAUAUCCAAAGUGGUGCUUGACUGAAGGUUUACUAAGGUUAAAAAAAUAUUUAAACAAUUUAGGAGUCUAAAACAGACUCUUGGAAGGCACCUAGGAUUGGAUUUCCAAAGGUACUCGCAUAUUUAAAGACUCAGACAGGACCUAGGAUUACGGAGAAGGUAGUGGCAGUCUUUGGCUGCUAAUUAUAAUUAAAAUCCAUGUUUGCUGUAGCUCAAGUCCUCCUUCUUUUCAGCAUGACUUGGGGCUGCUAGACAAGCUGUACUAAGUGCUGGGCUAAACAGCUCUCAACUCAUCAGGCACAUUCUGCAAAAUCUUAUUUUUGGGUAAUCUGGAAAAUUUUACCCGUAAACUUUUCUGUACCUCCUGGGAUAGCCUCAGCUGAAUCUCUGUCACCAUCUUCCCCAGAGAUGACCAUGUCUCUGGGAAUACAGACUGUACAUAGGUAAAAAAAGAAAAAAAUUAGAGACAAAGGAUUAAAAUAACACUAUAGCCAGUUGGUGAUUUCAACACGGUGGGUCCACCUGCACAGAGAUGUUUGUAGGACUGGAGCCAAAGUGCUAAAAGUGCAAAACCAGGUUUUGUUUGGUUUUGAGUCUGCAAUCAAUUACCAGAACAAAAAUGGUACCCAGAAAGCUGGAGGCAAAUUUUAAGGGCUGUAAUCAAAACCGAAAGAUGAACUGAGAAAUAUUUUAAUCUGCCAAAAUUUGUGUGCAAAGGUUCUGUGUUUCCUCUGCAAGAUGUGAUAAUGUCUUCCUGUGUGGCAGAGGAUAUUGCAAAUAUUGGUGUGAGUGCAAUCAGAAGAUUAGGCAAAAGGCAAGCUUGAGCACAAGAGCCUGGUCAGUCAGGGACUGAAGUAUGUGUUUUUAAUACUUUAUUUUAUAGCUAACUUCUCAUAAUUACAAACAGCUUCUCCUUUCUUUCAAAGAUUUUAUUUCACAUUUGAACUACUGACUUGAAAAGUUUUGUUAUUUUUUCCUCAAAAAUGUUUAACCAAUUUUUUCUCUUACUUGCAUUUCUUUUGAUUCAUGCAAUGAAGCGAGAACAGAGAUGAAGACUUGAUAUUAAAAUUUGAAGGCUGGCAAAGGCAGUAUGCUCUUUUGAAAAAUAUCAGGUCAGCUUGCAUUGGUUUGAGAGAGACAGAGAAUCUAAUUUUGAAAAUCCUACCAGGUGGGCAGGUGAUAUCUGUAUCUUUAGAGAACCUAAAACUUUUGACAUAUUGACCAUUGAUCCUUAAUUUGCAAGUUUAGUUCCUGAUUUCAGCUCAACAGGAUCUAUCCAGUCAAAAUUCUAAUCACAGCUUUCCAUUAUGGAAAGUUUACUCCUCAUUUAAAGCCUCCCUAUAUUGAAAAAUCAUGUAAACAGAUUGUGGAAUAACUGAAGUUCUUGGUUUAAUGUGUUUUUGAAACUACAGAUGGAACAAAAUCUUAAAAUCAAGUUUUCAGUAUCCUAAGAUA